Molecule: long non-coding RNA, 8114 nt
Filed under: Triticum aestivum (bread wheat)
Lineage: Eukaryota; Viridiplantae; Streptophyta; Magnoliopsida; Poales; Poaceae
Description: long non-coding RNA (TAES_LNC000421)
Source: RNAcentral
GAACAAAUCAGCUCUUUAUUGCAAUCUAUUGGGGUACAAGGGGAUUACAUCGGCACGGCGAUGCUACGCCUACCACGGUUGCUCUAUGCAAGCAGUAGAACAACACGACACAGCGGAAUGACUACUGGCAGCGGAACAACGACGGCGGUGGUGAACUCCACUCCGCAGGGACUCUGGCUGGAACGCUUAUCCAAGCGCGCAAACAAGGGAUCCAUGACAAACUAGCAAUCAUAUCCGGCAUGACCUGCAAACUGGCAUGACAUGCCAGGUCAGUACAUGGAAUGUACUUGCAAGCUCAGAGCAACCAAAGCAAUCAAGACAAACAAUAGCAUGGCAAUUACAUGUUAACAAGGAUUAACAUGAUACUAUCAGAUCAAUCAUAGCAUGAACAAGAUGAUACAACUACAACAAUACGAGCAUGGCAUAAACAUAUGAACUUGAUGAUACUAGCAUGCAACAUGAUGAACUAUCAAGCACCAACUUACUCUGUUCGGGUUACAUUGUAACCAUCACCUGUAUCACUUACCAUCACGGACAUCACAUAAUCAUCUCAGGAUCCAAUCAAGCUUGGUAUUAACAAUACCGUAGUAAUCAUACAUGACUACAAGGAGCUUGACCUUUGCCCUUGACUCUCGCAUAACACCACAAAUAUCCAACAAGUCGGUAUUCACGAUAUCACAGUGAUCCUCUCACGAUCACAUAAAUAUCAACCAACUUCUUUCAUCAUCGAACCGGGGUUGUUAUUAAUCAAAUUAUUAUUAUUACUGUUGACCCAUAGUGUGACCGACACGAACUGGGCCCAUAUCCGCGGGCGCGGCUAUCGAUAGAUUAAACACACACUCUGCAGAGGUUAGCACACUGUACCCACACCACGGAACCCAUGGUCUCGCACUCCCAUACGUGCGGACACGGCGUCCCGACAAAACCGAUCUACUGCCAUGACACUCUCCCGGCUACUCCGACCGACACCGCCUUGGGGUUCAGUCCUGGGUGGCCCCGUGUCUACCAAAGACACCAACGGCCACCGUCGUGGGAAAACGGUCCCAAACGGGGACAAGGUAUACCAUAAAAACAAAAAUGAGCACAGAAGGUUAUGUCCGCCUACCUGAUCAGGGUAGCGCGUGCCCAUAACCUUCCCUCGCGGGAGGCACCGGCGAGAGGCAUGACAAUAGACCCGGUUAGGACCCUCCCAUAGGGUAAGCGUGGUUGCACUGGUCAGAUCGAUAUGGUGGCACCAUGACUCAGCCAACAGUUGUUCAAGUUCAAUUUAAUCCGGUUAAACUUGAAUGCAAUAUGCUGAGCCAUGAUAAAAUAACAUUAUGCAACUACAAUGCAUGAACAUGAUAUCAAAAUAAGCAUGGAGGUGCAACAUAAUCAACGAGCAUAGCAACAACAUGUAACCAGUUAUCCAGAUGAGCAUGGCAUACUGACGAGCAUGAAUAUGACCACUAGCAUCAAUAAUAAAUACCAUGCAAUAACAUGACGAUAAACUACCAUGCAAGUAUUUAAUCAACUGGAUGUAAAGAAACAUGCAUAACGGCGGUACUCGGAAGAGACGAUAGUCAUGUACCGAAGACCGUCACCAACAUGUACUACCACCAAACAUUGCCAAUAUUAAAGUAAUACUAGCAUGAAAAACAUAAUAACAGAGUGCAAGAAAACAUAGCAUGACGGUAAACAUUGAUCCAUAAGCAUAACCGAAAUACCGACAGUAGUAGCAAAACAAACAGACAGUUAAUAAAGAUUCAAGUCGAAAACCAAUGCUUCUGCAUGGCUAUCAUGCAAAUGGUGGUUGUGGCUUGCCUGGGGAUGGGGAAGGCUCCGGGAAGAAGUGCGGAAUGACCGCGGAAGGAAUCGCCGGAAAAGGUACUCUCUCGGAGGGGGCUGAUUAAGCAUAAGGGCAAAAUGGUCAUUUUCAGAAUGUUGAAACAUAGUGAAAAUGAUACCAAAAGUUCGGGCUCGACAAGAGGAAGAAGUGGGCUUUGGAAUCACCUAAAUCGGAGUUGUGGUUGAAAAGAUAUAGAGGUUUGACUGCCAGGGACCUAUCUGUAAAAAUAUAUCCACAAACUAGCCCCUGAGUGGAAAAAUAGAAAACGCAUUUGACAGAAUAAGCUUUCCUGAACGGAAAAGGCUUUCCUGGCCUAAGCCGCACGAAAAUUCGCUUUUCUAACGGGAAAACGUAUAUACGCAAAUGCGCUUCCACUUUUCCACUUUGGCAGUGGCGGGGCCGCGGCUUGGCUCACUGACGUGCGGGGCCCGCGGCCAGCUGGAAGGGAGGGGCGUGGGCGUCGUCUUCCUCCUCGCUCCUGCCCGUGAGGCAGAGACAGGGCGUGGCUCCGGCGACUUGCUCCAGCGACACAGAACACCUCCGGCGAUGCUCCGGCCACGGGAGAGCUCGGGGUGACGAGGCGCAUCCAUCCCGCGGUGGCGCAGUCCUCGGGGAGGGCGGGGUUGAGAGCAGCUUUGACCGCGGCGGUAGAGGGCAACGACGGCGGCCAAAGUUGGGGACGCGUGGCCACGGUAGUCCCGACGACAAACUAAGGGGUUGGUGAGGCUCUUGGUGGUCCGUGGAGUGCUAUGGUAGCGACAGAACGGAGGGGGAGGCUCGGCUUCGACCAAAUUUAAGAGGUCAGAGGCGACGGCCAUGGCGGCGAUGUCGAGCACCGAAAGCUUCUCGAGCUCGGGCAAGAAGUGGGGCGGGGCUAGAGGAGGUGCAGGAGGCGAGUGGUGAAGAGAAAGGGCCUCGGGGUGGCUUUAUAUAGCCGGGCGAGGCGGUUCGAGCUUGGGUGCCGCCGCGGACGCGUGUGCUCGUGCAUGGGCUCGAAGGUAGACUACGGAGGGGAACGGGGAAGAGGCUCACGGGGGCAGAGGCGGCCAAGGGAGCACGGGGAGGAAGCGGCCAAGGCGCGGACGGAGCCGGUCGGCUACAACGCUCCCGUGGGCGCUCACUGUUUGGCGACGGGGACGGGUCACCGGGGAAGCAAACGGAGGGGGCAAGGGCUCCAGAGGGACGGAGACAACGCGGGGAACACGCUGGACACGGUCGGGCGAGGAAUGGACGAGUGCACAGACGGGGAGAAGGAGACAGAGGCGCUAGAGCGCGAGAAACGCCAUGCCGAAAGGGUGGUCACCGCGUAGACUGGCAAGGAUAAGAGGCCAAGCGCUGUCAUGAGAUGUCUAGUGAUUAGUCCCUGCAUAACAGAGGACAAGGGAGGUGAUGGAUCACACAGAAGUGUAGGGAGCAGAGGGGAGCAAGCUCGACAAGGUUUCUGUAUCAAAUUUGGACGAGUACUGCUGAUCAACAGGGAGCUAAUUGGGUCAAAUGGUGUUGUCUGGGAGGUUUAUAUUAAGAAGGACUACGGUUCUGGAAAAGUUGAGGUGAUUUGGACCAAUGCUUAAUAUAGUUGCUUCACAACUGCCUAAAUUGGUCCAGAAUAGAAAUCAUGAUGAUGCACUCAAAUAGUGAAGCCACUUGAGCUGAACUUGGGCAGGGAAGAGUUAUUUGGUCAUAUGAAGAUGCUGAAAAAGGUUUCAAACCAUUUGGAUAAACCAAAAUGGUACUUCCUUCACAAACAUCCCCACUGACCAGAAACUUGCAGAAAUUCUAGAGGGAAAAUGGCUAAAUAGAUUGCACCACAACUUUGUGGAGGGAGUUUAUAUCGAUAGGAGAAGGCCUAGAAAACUUUACAGACAUAAUGAAGCAAGAUAAAAUAUACUUGCUUCACAAACUGAAUUUUUGGACAGAAUCAAAGAUUUGAAGCUGUGCUCACAUGGAGGCAUUAAAUGAUGUCCACUUUGGUUGAGGGCUAAUAUUUGAUGAUAUGUAGAACCAUGCAAAAGGGCAACUCAUUUGGAUAUGCCUAUCUUGUACCUCCUUGACAAAGUUUCUUUCUGGACAGAAACUUUGGAAAAUCAUAAUUAAAAUAAUACUAGGCAAAUGAGGUUGCAUUUUGGCAUGUGGCAAUGCUAUGGACAGGAAAAGGUGUCCAAGGAGUUUGAGGUCAAUUGGGCAAAGGAAAAUAGAACUUGCUUAACAAUGUGCCAUUUAGGGCAGAAUAGGAAAUGAAUUAUUUGAGCAUGAUGAUAAACAUGGCAAAUGAAAUGUUUUGCCAUAUUUGAGGAAUAUAUGACCCCAAAAAUUUAUGAGAAUUAUUUGAAAAUUUUAGGAGUGAUGGAAAUAUAGGUUGCUUCACAACCUAGGGCAAAAAGGAUGAUUCCUUUAAUAGAAAAGGAAUAUUCCCAAUAAAAAGACUAUUGGGAUAUGGGCUAGGAUGAAGAUGGAAAGGUCUAGGGCUAGAUUUGGGGAUGACAAGCCACUCUGGAAGCAAAGAAGAGUUCAUCUUCUUCAGUUUCCAGACCACAAAGCCACGGAGAAAGAAAACUCAAGCAAAAAUCUCAGAAAACAAAUGAAAAAGAAAGGGCCAAAAAUCAGGCUGUGACAAACCUUCCCCCCUUAAAGAAAUCUCGUCCUCGAGAUUUGGUUGCUCAAGAAACAAGUAUGAAUAUACUGACUUAAGGAAACCGUUUCCAACUCGGGUAUCCUUUUUCCUUUGUUGAUUGUUCCCAUUAAAGUCUUCAUCUGACUUGCCUGACUGGCUCUGAGGCGGUUUGGCUUCACUGUAUCCAUAUCCUGACAGAUCUUAACUCACACGUUCUACUUAUACUGGCUCCAAUUCUGUUCAUAUCUGCUGACUUAGCUGAGAUUACCAUGACUGAAAUAUCUGUGUGUCUCACAAAUCCAAGAGUGAUUUCUGAUUGCUAUGUCUGUACUGACAACUGUCCAUGAAUUGGUGAUCAGAUUUUCUUGAUGAACACCCAAGCUCUGACUCCUUGCAUUGGGUUCCUCCAUUAAAUCCAGGUCCUUCGGAUUCCAAACAGUGAGUUGAGGCGUAACCGCUUUUCCUGACAGAUUCUGGCUUAUCGCAGGAAUUUCUGAACCAUGCUGACUGGCUCCACUGUCUUGAGUCUCAGAUUCAUUCCAAAUAUUUAACUGUCGUCUGUCCAGGCUAUCCGUUGAUGCUUCACAUAAGGGAGGGCACAUGCUUCCAGACUGUUAUUCACCAUCCAAAACCAAGCAGACCCUUUUGGUGAGUAUCCAUGGCGGUCGAUCCUGACUCAGACUGUCUGGGGUAUCUGCACCAUUUUCAUAUCCGCACCACUGGUCUUGCUCCUUCAUUACUGUUUUCUGUGUAUGGAUCCUUGGCUGAAAGAGCUUGGUCAUAUUGCUUCUUCGGGUGACCAUAGGUUUUGUCGAGUGCAACAUUCUGACCGGGGGAAAAUGAUCAUCUGAACCCUUUCAAGAAAUCGGCAAAUAAAUCAGUAGCCACCAGAACGGUCUUUACAACUCAGAUCUGGGACAUUACUGAAGUAACUCAACCACGGCUCAAGACGGCCGAAAAGCGGCUCAGAGCAGGAGACCGUGUUGAUAAGAAGAAAGUGGCAGCUCCCUAAGAUAGACGAAAAGUAGCUAAAAGCAUAGGGCCACUGUCACAAAAAGAAACUCAACAGCUAUACGAGACGGCCGGAAAGCAGCUCAGAACUCGUGACAGUUGUUGAAUAGAGAAAUAUAAAGUCGGCAUCCACCCCGUAUGGCCAAAAACGGCUCAGAGCAUAGGCGUGGUGCCGUUACCAGAGAAAAGAAGACAAUGGCUCAUCAGGAUCAUAUUCCAGGUUCACCUGUAUUUGUAUAGAGCUCAGUGUUGUCGUCAAUCCUCAUAGUCCUUUGUCACACUGAGGUGUAUAUCUGGCUUCCUUCACAUAUAUCUGAGAAUCUGAUUCCCGAGGCAGACUUGUGUUCUGACUGAUUCUUGCUUCUGACCAACUGUUGCGGAUCUGAUUUUGCCAUCUGCUGUCAAUUCACAUUGUACUAUCUUGCACCAGUGCCGUAUUGAGGACGAUUGGAUGGCUUAUGCUGAAAACCAUCGAGAGUAUCUUGCUGAGGAAGACUGGGCUUCGUGCUGAAACAGGAAUUACUGGACCAUCCUCCUUUCUGAGUAUGUGGCACAUCCUUGCUUUCUUCCAGGCAUAUCAUGUUUCAAAAUCAUCCUCCACGAAGAAUCAAACCUUGUAUUUGAACCAUACCUUUGACUGAAAUUGCACUGUUGGUCUUGCACAUAGCUUAUCUUCUUGCUGAUCUGAUUAUCCGUAUCACGAUCAGAUAUCCCCAGAUCUCAAUGCAGUCGGCUGAGAAUUCCAUACUGAUGCAAACCUGAUACUGACAGCCCAUCCAGGAUUUCUUUUGCCUUCGGCCAAGAUUUUCCCAAUUUCACUGUUGUCUGGUGAUGACUUCAUUCCGUGUAUCUGAGCUUCCAAACCUUUGAAUUCCUUGUUGAUUCUUCAAGUCCGGUGUUGGUUGACAAGCAACUUUAAUGAGGGGAAAAUAAUGCCACACCGAAGGCCCAAAGAAGGAAGCAAAAGAAACGACUAAAACAAAAGCACACGAGCAUACAAUUAAUAUAAAUAAUCAAGCAACAUCACAUAUUACUACUAAUCACACAAUAAUAUGCAUGCACACCUAAGCACACAAGUCUCACGGAAACUCCGGUAUUGCGAUCUAAUAUGUUGUGGCGGUGUGCACGAAGUGAAUUCACGUGUGGAAGGAGUUGGUGUAACCAAGGCUACACCAAGCGCUGGCUGAACACCGGUCGCAAUCGGAUGGAUACGGGGCGAGGACGGACUUGGUGAUCAAGUAGCGAGACACAAGGUCACGACCACGUCAUCAUCAAGCGUACGAAGGGGAACCGUACACGUCCAAAGAAUGGGAUGACAGGGCAUUAUAGCAGUGGAAAGCAGGGCUUUGCUGGCAUUGCCCUUUUCUGAUAACAAAGAUCAGUAAGGGUUGCCAGAGGGACGGGAUGGAAGGCACGAUUCGGGAUAGAGGCAAAUCUAUCACCGAAAUAAUAUGGGUGGGUGGCGAAAAGAUAUCGACGCGAUACCUGAGCAUAACUCCUGCAAAUGGUGUCUAGAACACUAGGUACCAGGGCAUCACUCUGCUGGGACAGAGAUGACGCCGAACACCGGAGAGCAGGCAUGCUAAGAAAGAGGGUGCAGGUAGUGGAUCGAAGACGACGCCACCUACACUCACAAGAGUAACUGUUAGCGACAAGAAAAUGAUCUAUAUGCAUGCUAUGCAACAAACAAAUGCAGCAAUCAAGUGCAACAAACCAACGAGGCUCUAUACUACCGCAUACUAACGUUCGCGCGGGCUAGGGCAUCCUACAGCCAAAUCUGCUCUGAUACCAAGCCUGUGGCACCCCGACUCAGAGAAACCGGAACGCCCCGUAUUCAAGCCCAGAGAUCGAGGAGAAGUCUUCUGGAAUAUGGCACUGCUUAGCAUAGAACAAAUCACCUCUUUAUUGCAAUCUAUUGGGGUACAAGGGGAUUACAUCGGCACGGCGAUGCUACGCCUGCCACGGUUGCUCUAUGCAAGCAGUAGAACAACACGACGCAGCGGAAUGACUACUGGCAGCGGAACAGCGACGGCGAUGGUGAACUCCACUCCGCAGGGACUCUGGCUAGAACGCUUAUCCUAGCGCGCAAACAAGGGAUCCACGGCAAACAAGCAAUCAUAUCCGGCGUGACCUGCAAACUGGCAUGACACGCCAGGUCAGUACAUGGAAUGUACUUGCAAGCUCACAGCAACCAAAGCAAUCAAGACAAACAAUAGCAUGGCAAUUACCGGUUAACAAGGAUUAACAUGAUACUAUCAGAUCAAUCAUAGCAUUAACAAGAUGAUACAAGUAGAACAAUACGAGCAUGGCAUAAACAUAUGAACUUGAUGAUACUAGCAUGCAACAUGAUGAACUAUCAUGCACCAACUUACUCUAUUCGGGUUACAUCGUAACCAUCACCUGUAUCACUUACCAUCACGUACAUCACACGAUCCUCUCAGGAUCCAAUCAAGCUUCGUAUUAACAAUACCGUAGUAAUCAUACAUGACUACAAGGAGCUUGACCUUUGCCCUUGACUCUCGCAUAACACCACAAAUAUCCAACAAGUUGGUAUUCACGAUAUCACAGUGAUCCUCUCACGAUCACAUAAAUAUCAACCAACUCCUUUCAUCAUCGAACCGGGGUUGUUAUUAAUCAAAUUAUUAUUAUUACUGUUGACCCAUA